GCAUUAAGCGCCCCGCCUGGGGAGUACGCCCGCAAGGCUAAUACUCAAAGGAAUUGACGGGGGCCCGCACAAGCGUCGGAGCAUGCGGAUUAAUUCGAUGCAACGCGAAGAACCUUACCAAGACUUGACAUAUUCAGGAAAACUGCAGAAAUGUAGUCCCCCGCAAGGGUCUGUUUACAGGUGGUGCAUGGUUGUCGUCAGCUCGUGUCGUGAGAUGUUGGGUUAAGUCCCGCAACGAGCGCAACCCUCGUCCUAUGUUGCCAGCACGUUAUGGUGGGAACUCAUGGGAGACUGCCGGGGUCAACUCGGAGGAAGGUGGGGAUGACGUCAAAUCAUCAUGCCCCUUAUGUCUUGGGCUUCACGCAUGCUACAAUGGCCGGUACAAAGGGCUGCAAUACCGCAAGGUGGAGCGAAUCCCAAAAAGCCGGUCUCAGUUCGGAUUGAGGUCUGCAACUCGACCUCAUGAAGUCGGAGUCGCUAGUAAUCGCAGAUCAGCAACGCUGCGGUGAAUACGUUCCCGGGCCUUGUACACACCGCCCGUCAAGUCACGAAAGUC
RNAcentral lists this ribosomal RNA (556 nucleotides) under uncultured Actinomycetes bacterium. RNAcentral describes it as "bacterial SSU rRNA". It matches the Rfam family "Bacterial small subunit ribosomal RNA", at positions 857 to 1412 of the family's 1533-position model. Lineage: Bacteria; Bacillati; Actinomycetota; Actinomycetes. The record is from RNAcentral.